Ornithorhynchus anatinus (platypus) is the source of this 548-nucleotide long non-coding RNA. RefSeq lists it as uncharacterized. The transcript is spliced from 3 exons. Lineage: Eukaryota; Metazoa; Chordata; Mammalia; Monotremata; Ornithorhynchidae. The record is from RefSeq and is a predicted model, not a curated record.
AUGAGCUUGUGCACAGCUGCCUAUGCAACAUACUGCAGUCCUGAUGAGCUCUCUUCCCGCCGGCCGCUCCAAUCCCAAACGGUUCCUAAUCUUGUGGCUGGCUCUCGAGCUUUUGAAAACGCUCUUCUAGGUUCUCUGACCUGAAGUUUAUGGAUCUAGGCUCAUUCAUCGGUCCCGACAGGAGACUCCAUCACUACUGAAAAACUCAUAUAUGAAUGGCAAGCAAAUGUAGUCAAGUUUUCCUGCAAUUCAAAGAGAGAAAGUUUCCUAUUCCAUUAUUUGCAGCUCUCAUUAGGAAGCAUCUAAUUCAAAAGAGGGUCCCUAGUUUUGUGUGGGGAACCCGUUCCUCUUUAGUCCUCUCAGGAUAAACAUCCAAAAUUGCCAUCUAUGAACUUGUUAAAGACACAGAGCAUCAACUGAACAGCACUGGACUGCACCUUGGGGCUAAUUAAAGCUUCCUAGAUAACCGCAGUCCCCGUCCCCCAGCUCAAACGAUAGUCUUGACCAGCAGGGGAUGGAAAAGAGAAAGACAACCACUGCACCCUGGA